CCUGCUCAAUGACCCUAAAUAGCCGCUUUAAGUGCUAAGGUAGCAUAAUAAAUUACUCUCUAAUUAAGAGAUAGUAUGAAAGGAAAAACGAUUUAUCCCCUCUAUCAGAUUAUAAACUAAAAUUCCCUUAACAGUCACAACCCUGUUUAAAUAACAGCAGGACGACAAGACCCUAAUGAACUUUCACAUAUAAUUUAACUGGGAAGGUAAAAAACUAUAUCUUUAAUUCCACAUCCAAUUAACGCCUCUCCUUGAAUUAAACAAAGUUACCGUAGGGAUAACAGCAUAAUAAUUUAAAAAAGCCCAUAUAAAAUAAAUUGAUUAUGACCUCGAUGUUGAAUUA
Molecule: ribosomal RNA, 343 nt
Filed under: Speocera cuyapo
Lineage: Eukaryota; Metazoa; Arthropoda; Arachnida; Araneae; Ochyroceratidae
Description: partial large subunit ribosomal RNA
Source: RNAcentral